Molecule: ribosomal RNA, 811 nt
Filed under: uncultured bacterium
Lineage: Bacteria
Description: bacterial SSU rRNA
Rfam family: Bacterial small subunit ribosomal RNA
Source: RNAcentral
AGAGUUUGAUCCUGGCUCAGAACGAACGCUGGCGGCGUGCCUAACACAUGCAAGUCGAACGGAGUUGAGGGGCUUGCUCCUCAAUUUAGUGGCGCACGGGUGAGUAACGCGUAGAUAAUCUGCCUGACGAUCUGGGAUAACACUUCGAAAGGGGUGCUAAUACCGGAUAAGCCCACGGGGACUUUGGUCUUUGCGGGAAAAGGGGGGGACCUUUUGGCCUUCUGUCGUCAGAUGAGUCUGCGUACCAUUAGCUAGUUGGUAGGGUAAAGGCCUACCAAGGCUACGAUGGUUAGCUGGUCUGAGAGGAUGAUCAGCCACACUGGAACUGAGACACGGUCCAGACUCCUACGGGAGGCAGCAGUGGGGAAUUUUGUGCAAUGGGCGAAAGCCUGACGCAGCAACGCCGCGUGAGUGAUGAAGGCUUUCGGGUCGUAAAGCUCUGUCGAGGGGAAAGAAGUGUAUUAUGGUUAAUACCCAUGAUACUUGACGGUGCCCCUAAAGGAAGCACCGGCUAACUCCGUGCCAGCAGCCGCGGUAAUACGGAGGAUGCAAGCGUUAUCCGGAUUCAUUGGGUUUAAAGGGUGCGCAGGCGGAGUGAUAAGUCAGUGGUGAAAGCCUACAGCUUAACUGUAGAACUGCCAUUGAUACUGUCAUUCUUGAGUAUUGUUGAGGUAGGCGGAAUGUGUCAUGUAGCGGUGAAAUGCUUAGAUAUGACACAGAACACCGAUCGCGAAGGCAGCUUACCAAGCAAUAACUGACGCUCAUGCACGAAAGCGUGGGGAUCAAACAGGAUUAGAUACCCUGGUAGUCC